This 25-nucleotide ribosomal RNA is filed under the name Ischnocnema nasuta. RNAcentral describes it as "partial 12S ribosomal RNA". Lineage: Eukaryota; Metazoa; Chordata; Amphibia; Anura; Brachycephalidae. The record is from RNAcentral.
AGGCACCGGAAGGUGUACUUGGUAA